UACGUAGGGGGCAAGCGUUAUCCGGAAUUACUGGGUGUAAAAGGUGAGUAGGCGGCAUGGUAAGCCAGAUGUGAAAGCCUUGGGCUUAACCCGAGGAUUGCAUUUGGAACUAUCAAGCUAGAGUACAGGAGAGGAAAGCGGAAUUCCUAGUGUAGCGGUGAAAUGCGUAGAUAUUAGGAAGAACACCAGUGGCGAAGGCGGCUUUCUGGACUGAAACUGACGCUGAGGCACGAAAGCGUGGGGAGCGAACAGG
RNAcentral lists this ribosomal RNA (253 nucleotides) under uncultured bacterium. RNAcentral describes it as "partial 16S ribosomal RNA". It matches the Rfam family "Bacterial small subunit ribosomal RNA", at positions 524 to 776 of the family's 1533-position model. The record is from RNAcentral.